This 880-nucleotide ribosomal RNA is filed under the name Staphylococcus aureus T39328. RNAcentral's name for it is "bacterial SSU rRNA". It matches the Rfam family "Bacterial small subunit ribosomal RNA", at positions 8 to 869 of the family's 1533-position model. Lineage: Bacteria; Bacillati; Bacillota; Bacilli; Caryophanales; Staphylococcaceae. The record is from RNAcentral. RNAcentral also lists the same sequence under 1 other name.
AGAGUUUGAUCCUGGCUCAGGAUGAACGCUGGCGGCGUGCCUAAUACAUGCAAGUCGAGCGAACGGACGAGAAGCUUGCUUCUCUGAUGUUAGCGGCGGACGGGUGAGUAACACGUGGAUAACCUACCUAUAAGACUGGGAUAACUUCGGGAAACCGGAGCUAAUACCGGAUAAUAUUUUGAACCGCAUGGUUCAAAAGUGAAAGACGGUCUUGCUGUCACUUAUAGAUGGAUCCGCGCUGCAUUAGCUAGUUGGUAAGGUAACGGCUUACCAAGGCAACGAUGCAUAGCCGACCUGAGAGGGUGAUCGGCCACACUGGAACUGAGACACGGUCCAGACUCCUACGGGAGGCAGCAGUAGGGAAUCUUCCGCAAUGGGCGAAAGCCUGACGGAGCAACGCCGCGUGAGUGAUGAAGGUCUUCGGAUCGUAAAACUCUGUUAUUAGGGAAGAACAUAUGUGUAAGUAACUGUGCACAUCUUGACGGUACCUAAUCAGAAAGCCACGGCUAACUACGUGCCAGCAGCCGCGGUAAUACGUAGGUGGCAAGCGUUAUCCGGAAUUAUUGGGCGUAAAGCGCGCGUAGGCGGUUUUUUAAGUCUGAUGUGAAAGCCCACGGCUCAACCGUGGAGGGUCAUUGGAAACUGGAAAACUUGAGUGCAGAAGAGGAAAGUGGAAUUCCAUGUGUAGCGGUGAAAUGCGCAGAGAUAUGGAGGAACACCAGUGGCGAAGGCGACUUUCUGGUCUGUAACUGACGCUGAUGUGCGAAAGCGUGGGGAUCAAACAGGAUUAGAUACCCUGGUAGUCCACGCCGUAAACGAUGAGUGCUAAGUGUUAGGGGGUUUCCGCCCCUUAGUGCUGCAGCUAACGCAUUAAGCACUC